Sinocyclocheilus grahami is the source of this 310-nucleotide long non-coding RNA. RefSeq lists it as uncharacterized. The record is from RefSeq and is a predicted model, not a curated record. The transcript has 3 exons. NCBI's taxonomy places the organism in Eukaryota, Metazoa, Chordata, Actinopteri, Cypriniformes, Cyprinidae.
GAUUCAGAGAGUUGACACAUUACCUGAGCUGCAGCAGUGCAACAAGUGUUACAGCAAUUACCAGCAAUUUUCUGCUUGACCAGCAUGUUUAAGCCAGCCAAACUGGUCAAAUUAAUGUCAUCUUCAAAUCCACUUCAACAUGCAGUUGUCUGUGGAGUACAUCUUGUCUUGGGAGCACCCUUUGAUUUUACAUCUUGUGACACUCCAAUCAUACGGAGAUGGUGGACUCCAGAUGGUUUUCUCUGAAAGGUACUGGACAUUUCCUCCAGCACACCAUUACAUUUGCACCCCCUUCUGACCAAUUUGAAAU